AUGCAUGUCCUGGGCGUGGUGUGUACCCUGGGUGUGAUGCGUGUCCUGGGCGUGGUGUGUGUACUGGGCGUGAUGUGUGCCCUGGGUGUGAUGUGUGUCCUGGGUGUGAUGUGUGUCCUGGGUGUGGUGUGUGUCCUGGGCGUGGUGUGUGUCCUGGGUGUGAUGUGUGUCCUGGGUGUGGUGUGUGUCCUGGGUGUGGUGUGUGUCCUGGGCGUGGUGUGUACCCUGGGUGUGGUGUGUGUCCUGGGCGUGGUGUGUAACCUGGGUGUGAUGUGUGCCCUGGGUGUGAUGUGUGUCCUGGGUGUGGUGUGUGUCCUGGGUGUGAUGUGUGCCCUGGGUGUGGUGUGUGUCCUGGGUGUGAUGUGUGCCCUGGACGUGGUGUGUACCCUGGGUGUGGUGUGUGACCUGGGUGUGGUGUGUGUCCUGGGUGUGAUGUGUGUCCUGGGCGUGGUGUGUGCCCUGGGCGUGGUGUGUAUCCUGGGUGUGAUGUGUGUCCUGGGUGUGAUGUGUGCCCUGGGCAUAGUGUGUGCCCUGGGUGUGGUGUGUGCCCUGGGUGUGGUGUGUACCCUGGGUGUGAUGUGUGUCCUGGACGUGGUGUGUACCCUGGGUGUGGUGUGUGUCCUGGGUGUGAUGUGUGUCCUGGGUGUGAUGUGUGUCCUGGGCUGGUGUGUGCCCUGGGCGUGGUGUGUGUCCUGGGCAUGGUGUGUGCCCUGUGCAUGGUAUGUGGGAUGUGUCCUGGGCUGUGUGUGUCCUGGGCGUGGCACGUGCCCUGGGCGUGGUGUGCGCUGGCCCUGUGUACACCCGAGCCCUGGGCGUGGUGUGCGCUGGCCCUGUGUACACCCGAGCCCUGGGCCUGGUCUUGGCUGCAGGCAGGGCCCAGUUGCCUGGUGCCUUCCCCACCGCACAGCGUCCCUGACUGCCCGUUGCUCGCUCUGCAGCAGGUCUGUCUCUGGCAGCACCCGGCAUUUUCCUGUGAGGUUGGUGGAGUUAGCAGUGCUUGGGAGUCUCAGAUGA
RNAcentral lists this long non-coding RNA (1014 nucleotides) under Oryctolagus cuniculus (rabbit). Its description in RNAcentral is "lncRNA (ENSOCUG00000037101.1)". The record is from RNAcentral. Lineage: Eukaryota; Metazoa; Chordata; Mammalia; Lagomorpha; Leporidae.